UGGGGAAUAUUGCACAAUGGGCGCAAGCCUGAUGCAGCCAUGCCGCGUGUGUGAAGAAGGCCUUCGGGUUGUAAAGCACUUUCAGCGAGGAGGAAGGUGGUGAGCUUAAUACGCUCAUCAAUUGACGUUACUCGCAGAAGAAGCACCGGCUAACUCCGUGCCAGCAGCCGCGGUAAUACGGAGGGUGCAAGCGUUAAUCGGAAUUACUGGCGUAAAGCGCACGCAGGCGGUUUGUUAAGUCAGAUGUGAAAUCCCCGGGCUCAACCUGGGAACUGCAUUUGAAACUGGCAAGCUAGAGUCUCGUAGAGGGGGGUAGAAUUCCAGGUGUAGCGGUGAAAUGCGUAGAGAUCUGGAGGAAUACCGGUGGCGAAGGCGGCCCCCUGGACGAAGACUGACGCUCAGGUGCGAAAGCGUGGGGCAGCAAACAGGAUUAGAUA
Molecule: ribosomal RNA, 437 nt
Filed under: uncultured bacterium
Lineage: Bacteria
Description: partial 16S ribosomal RNA
Rfam family: Bacterial small subunit ribosomal RNA
Source: RNAcentral